Molecule: ribosomal RNA, 301 nt
Filed under: uncultured bacterium
Lineage: Bacteria
Description: partial 16S ribosomal RNA
Rfam family: Bacterial small subunit ribosomal RNA
Source: RNAcentral
CAGCAGCCGCGGGAAUACGUAGGUGGCGAGCGUUGUCCGGAUUUAUUGGGCGUAAAGGGAGUGUAGGCGGUCUUUUAAGUCUGAUGUGAAAGCCCACGGCUCAACCGUGGAGGGUCAUUGGAAACUGGGAGACUUGAGUGCAGAAGAGGAGAGCGGAAUUCCAUGUGUAGCGGUGAAAUGCGUAGAUAUAUGGAGGAACACCAGUGGCGAAGGCGGCUCUCUGGUCUGUAACUGACACUGAGGCGCGAAAGCGUGGGGAGCAAACAGGAUUAGAUACCCGCGUAGUCCCUGUCUCUUAUAC